This 741-nucleotide long non-coding RNA is filed under the name Carassius auratus (goldfish). Its description in RNAcentral is "lncRNA (ENSCARG00000049012.1)". Lineage: Eukaryota; Metazoa; Chordata; Actinopteri; Cypriniformes; Cyprinidae. The record is from RNAcentral.
AUGACUAGAUUAUUAUACUUCAUAUGUCUUCUCCUUAAACAGUGUGUGUAUGCUGUGUUUGUACUGCGUGUGUCUCAACCAGAGUCAGCAGUGAGAGUUCAGCCUGGACACUCUACAACUCUUCCGUGCUUCACACCAGAUGAUGGACACUUUAAAGUGUUCUGGUUCAAAAUACAAAACAGUUCUGCUCCAGUUUUUGUGGCUUUGGCUGAAUCAGACAAAACUGCCAUAAUAAUUGGAGACAAAUUUCAGGAUCCCACAAAGUAUACAUUAAGAUGGAACAAGCUCAGCUUCAGUCUCUCAGUACUGAACAUGGAGCAAACAGACAUCGCUGUGUACUACUGUGCGAUUAUUAUUUAUCGUGAGAUGUAUUUUGGAAAUGGAACAAGACUGAUGUUUGAAGAGCAUUUUAACGGGACAGAAAAAAAUGAGGAAAAGGAAGAUGACUGUAGGAAUCAGUUUGUCUUUGUUUGGCCAACACUGAUAACAAUCAUUGUGAUGUCCAUACUUCUCAACAUCAUUCUGUUCUACAUCUUAAAGAAACAUAGAGCAGGUAAUAUUUAUUUGCCGCCUAUACUGGUAUUUUCAAACUAUGCCCAUGCAGUUUUUGUUUUUCUAGUCUCACUUUGGUCAAUGUUUUCAGGCAUUUCACAAACUAACGGCAGUCAAAAUGUAAGACAUUUUCUACAUAUUAUUCAUAAUUUGGCGCUUCAAAUAUUUAAUAGCUGUCAAAUGCUGUAA